Long non-coding RNA from Vitis vinifera (wine grape), 717 nucleotides. RefSeq lists it as uncharacterized. Lineage: Eukaryota; Viridiplantae; Streptophyta; Magnoliopsida; Vitales; Vitaceae. The record is from RefSeq and is a predicted model, not a curated record. The transcript is spliced from 4 exons.
UUCUCCUUGUUUUGUUUAUUAUCUCAGUGUAUCUUUUUUCAAAGCAGUAUUCAUGACUACCUUACUUACUCUGUAGGCAAUGAGGGCCGUGAAUACGUCCUGAGGCGUAUUCUCCAUAGAGAUGUUCGUUAUGGAAGUGAAGUUCUGAAAGCACAAGAAGGAUUCUUCAAUAGCCUCAUAAACAUUGUUGUAAAGGUGAUGGGUGAUGUUUUCCCUGAACUGAAACAACAUGAAGUGCACAUCAGUUUAUAAUUGCUGAAAAGGAAGCAAGUUUUGGCAAGACAUUACUUAAGAUGCAACAUCUACCCCUUAUAUUGCAAUUGUCACGGUGAUGCUCCAUUCACAAUCUCUUGGUACAUAAUUUUCCCCAACUACUAGUCUAUGCCGUUGCUGAAAAUACUUAAGGAAAAGAAGCACUUCAUUUAUUAAACACAUGGAUAGCAGACAAAGGAAGCGGAGAAGCCAUGUUCCAUCAAGAUCUGAAGUGGUUAAGUUACCAAAAUCCCACUGCUUGGGAAAGAAAUUCCUAUCAAUCAUGGAUACCCUCCCAAUGGAUAAGAAAAAUGCCAUCAGCGAUAUGGGAUUCAGGGGCUUGCUGCAGCUUGGCUGUAAAGAAUUGCGUUAUGAGCUAAUAACGUGGAUAGUCGCCAAUUAUGACAUUGGCUACCACCGCUUAUGCAUGGAAACAAAAUUUGUUGUCCCAGUCACGCCCAAAGA